CGGGAGCGAGAUACUAGUGGUGGCGUUAUCCGCGCCGCGGGGAUGGGAUUUGUUGAGGGCGGGCGCGGGUGACUCAGCCAUGGCGUGGAGGUGCGCCUGUGGAUGACAAGGACACCUCACGCUCUUGGUGCUAGAGAUGAUGAAUCCGUGUCAGCUUGGAAGAAAAAGGAAAUUGAAGCAACCUGUGCAUUGUUUGUUCUGCGAGGAUGGAGUCAGCUUAUCUUCAGAGAAGAAAUGUGUCGGUGCUUUACAUGUGGAGAGUAAUAAGGAGAGUGUUUUACAUGUGCUUUAAAUGUGUCGGUGCUUUAUUGUUUCACUAAGCAGUUUGUCUUUUACCGUCCAUCUAUACUUGUAGACGAUUCGGAGGGAUCCACAUAUUCAGCGGUAUAUUACUCCUGCUAUUUGCAUGUAUAAUAAGCGAUGUCGUGGACAUCACUAAUUUUGUGCUA
Setaria italica (foxtail millet) is the source of this 449-nucleotide long non-coding RNA. RefSeq lists it as uncharacterized. The record is from RefSeq and is a predicted model, not a curated record. Lineage: Eukaryota; Viridiplantae; Streptophyta; Magnoliopsida; Poales; Poaceae. The transcript has 2 exons.